UACGUAGGGUGCGAGCGUUAAUCGGAAUUACUGGGCGUAAAGCGUGCGCAGGCGGCGCGUUAAGACAGGUGUGAAAGCCCCGAGCUUAACUUGGGAAUUGCGCUUGUGACUGGCGGGCUGGAGUGUGGCAGAGGGAGGUGGAAUUCCACGUGUAGCAGUGAAAUGCGUAGAGAUGUGGAGGAACACCGAUGGCGAAGGCAGCCUCCUGGGCCAGCACUGACGCUCAUGCACGAAAGCGUGGGGAGCAAACAGG
This 253-nucleotide ribosomal RNA is filed under the name uncultured bacterium. RNAcentral's name for it is "partial 16S ribosomal RNA". It matches the Rfam family "Bacterial small subunit ribosomal RNA", at positions 524 to 776 of the family's 1533-position model. The record is from RNAcentral.